RNAcentral lists this ribosomal RNA (479 nucleotides) under uncultured bacterium. RNAcentral's name for it is "partial 16S ribosomal RNA". It matches the Rfam family "Bacterial small subunit ribosomal RNA", at positions 28 to 507 of the family's 1533-position model. The record is from RNAcentral.
GAUGAACGCUAGCGGCAGGCCUAACACAUGCAAGCCGAACGGUAUUUGUUUUCCGGAGCAGGGUGAUCGGCUCACGGACGCGUAACUCGUAUGCAAGCUACCUUUCUCUGGGUGUUAGACUUUCUCAAGGAAGUUUGAUACCCACUAAUUUAUUGAUUGUCAUCCUUUGUUAUUGAUAGCUCCGUUCGAUAGAGAUGGGUACGCGCAAGAUUAGAUAGUUGGUGAGGUAACGGCUCACCAAGUCAAUGAUCUUUAGGGGGCCUGAGAGGGUGAUCCCCCACACUGGUACUGAGACAAGGACCAGACUCAUACGGGAGGCAGCAGUGAGGAAGACUGGACAAUGGGUUAGCGCCUGAUCCAGCCAUCCCGCGUGAAGGACGACGGCGCUAUGGGUGGUAAACUUCUGUUGGAUAGGGAUAAACCUACUCUCGUGAGAGUAGCUGAAGGUACUAGACGAAUAAGCACCGGCUAACUCCGUG